This 778-nucleotide long non-coding RNA is filed under the name Rosa chinensis. RNAcentral's name for it is "sRNA RchiOBHm_Chr2g0151241". The record is from RNAcentral. Lineage: Eukaryota; Viridiplantae; Streptophyta; Magnoliopsida; Rosales; Rosaceae.
GAGCUAGUAAAGAUCGCCUUUGAUGUGAUAGCUCCUGGGAAACCUGCUUCAUGGUUGGCCGAGAUUGCGGAUUGGUUUGCAAGCAUGAAAAUGCAAGCUUCACAAUAAACCCCAGUUUCUCUGCAAUUUGACCUCUAGGAGCUGAAAGGCGUUGAUCCAAAAUGUCCCUCAGCGGUGUAUCAAGCACAGUAUUUGAUGUCGAUAAUGAGGACGAGAGAACUGAGUUCAUGAGGUCCCCAGGAAGCUUUCCCAUGAUCACUUCUAGAGUUAACACUCCAAAACUAUAGACAUCACAUUUCUCAUUCACUUCCAUUGUGUAUGCAAACUCUGCAAGUGUAUCCAAAUGUGCCUGCAAAUGAAGUCCAAUUGGAAGAGUUGGGCAUCAAAAUUCUAGCUGUGCCAAAAUCAGAUAUGUAAGCGUUGUAUUCUAAAUCCAGCAAGAUGUUCUUGCUUGAUAUGUCUCGAUGAACAAUUGGAGGCGAGCAAUCAUGGUGCAUAUAGGAUAAAGCAUCUGCCACACUCUUGACAAGGUUUACCCUUGCAAUCCAUUCAAACAUAACUAUUUCUCUGCCAUUGUGUAGUAACUUUUCUAAGCUAGCUUCCCCCUUCCAGAAACUGGUAAACCAAGAAUGAGUGGCGUGGAUGUGUGCAAAAACCAUAGAGUUUCACAAUGUUUCUGAUGACGAGUUUCUGAGAGUGCAUGGAUCUCACUCUCGAACGCCUUGAGAUUUGCUACCCCACGACCAUCUUGUACUGUGUGAAUUUUCUUCACUGCAAC